This 253-nucleotide ribosomal RNA is filed under the name uncultured bacterium. Its description in RNAcentral is "partial 16S ribosomal RNA". It matches the Rfam family "Bacterial small subunit ribosomal RNA", at positions 524 to 776 of the family's 1533-position model. The record is from RNAcentral.
UACGUAGGCAGCGAGCGUUGUUCGGAAUUACUGGGCGUAAAGAGUGUGUAGGCGGUGUUCCCAGUCUGUUGUGAAAUCUCCCGGCUUAACUGGGAGGGUGCGGCGAAAACUGGAGUGCUAGAGGGUGGGAGAGGAAAGCGGAAUUCCUGGUGUAGCGGUGAAAUGCGUAGAUAUCAGGAGGAACACCAGUGGCGAAGGCGGCUACCUGGACCGGUUCUGACGCUGAGGCGCGAAAGCGUGGGUAGCAAACAGG